GGGGAUGUGGCUCAAGUGGUAGUGCGCUCGCCUGGCAUGCGUGCGGCCUGGGUUCGACCCCAGCACCA
Molecule: transfer RNA, 68 nt
Filed under: Ictidomys tridecemlineatus (thirteen-lined ground squirrel)
Lineage: Eukaryota; Metazoa; Chordata; Mammalia; Rodentia; Sciuridae
Description: Spermophilus tridecemlineatus (thirteen-lined ground squirrel) tRNA
Rfam family: tRNA
About the family: Transfer RNA (tRNA) molecules are approximately 80 nucleotides in length.
Source: Rfam by way of RNAcentral